This is a non-coding RNA of Pelobates cultripes (western spadefoot toad), 644 nucleotides long. Lineage: Eukaryota; Metazoa; Chordata; Amphibia; Anura; Pelobatidae. The record is from the annotation of a GenBank genome assembly.
GGUAGUUGCUCCCUACCCUACUCAUCAUUGUUGGUUUGGUAACUUAAAUAUUAUUCAACUAUCUCUAAUCUCUAAAGACUUUCUCUGUUAUUUCUGCCCCCCGCCCCCCUUUAUUUUAUUGAUACCCACCCGAAUGGUCUUGCUUGACCAAUCCUCACCUCCUCUGUGCAUCUUCAUUCCAUAGUUUUAUUGCAGGCUUUUUUUGACCCUAUCCUCUCUCUUUCCACAGUCUGAGUUUUAAAAGCUCCCUACUGCAAUCCAGGACCGAAACGAAUUGCACAUGUCUAAUAUGUUCUUUAUCCUGCUGAAAGAGCCCACUGCAGUCAAGGAAGAUGUGUACAUUGACCUGAGCAUAGCACUGCCUCCGCCAGCCUGCCUAUUUCCCAUAGUGCAUCCUGCUGCUAUUUCUUACCUAGGUAAAUGACACACAUGCACCUGCCCUCUACCUGUUCUAAAAGUAAAUGUAAUUCAUCAGACCAGGCAAUCUUCUUCCAUUGCUCCGUGGUCUAGUUCUGCAUGCUCACAUCCACAUUGAAGGCACUAUUGGUGGUGUUCAAGGGUCAUCAUGGGAAUGUUGCCUGGUCUGCUGCCCAUGUGCAGCAAACUGUGAUGGACUAUGUGUUCUAAAACCUUACUGUUGUGGC